This is a non-coding RNA of Potamilus streckersoni, 73 nucleotides long. Lineage: Eukaryota; Metazoa; Mollusca; Bivalvia; Unionida; Unionidae. The record is from the annotation of a GenBank genome assembly.
GCUCCAGUGGCCUAGUGGUUAGAGCGUCCGUUUCGGAUGCAGGAGGUUGUAGGUUCAAUCCCUGGUUGAGUCA